Cheilinus undulatus (humphead wrasse) is the source of this 167-nucleotide small nuclear RNA. RefSeq annotates it as U1 spliceosomal RNA. The record is from RefSeq and is a predicted model, not a curated record. The transcript has a single exon. Lineage: Eukaryota; Metazoa; Chordata; Actinopteri; Labriformes; Labridae.
AUACUUACCUGGCAGGGGGCGACACCCUGAUCAGGAAGGUGGUUCCCCCAUGGCAAGGUCUGGCCAUUGCACUCCAGUCUUGGGCUGACCCGUGCGAAUUCCCCACAUGCGGGAAUCUCGACUGCGUAAUUUCUGGUAGUGGGGGACUGCGUCCGCACUUUUUUCCA